This 802-nucleotide ribosomal RNA is filed under the name marine metagenome. RNAcentral's name for it is "bacterial SSU rRNA". It matches the Rfam family "Bacterial small subunit ribosomal RNA", at positions 8 to 801 of the family's 1533-position model. The record is from RNAcentral.
AGAGUUUGAUCCUGGCUCAGAUUGAACGCUGGCGGUAUGCUUAACACAUGCAAGUCGAACGGAAACGAUACUAGCUUGCUAGUAGGCGUCGAGUGGCGGACGGGUGAGUAACGCGUAGGAAUCUGCCUGAUAGUGGGGGAUAGCCCGAAGAAAUUCGGAUUAAUACCGCAUAAUCUAUUCGUAGUAAAGUGGGGGACUUUUGAGCCUCACGCUAUCAGAUGAGCCUGCGUAAGAUUAGCUAGUUGGUAGGGUAAAAGCCUACCAAGGCUACGAUCUUUAGCUGGUCUGAGAGGAUGAUCAGCCACAUCGGGACUGAGACACGGCCCGAACUCCUACGGGAGGCAGCAGUGGGGAAUAUUGGACAAUGGGGGCAACCCUGAUCCAGCAAUACCGCGUGUGUGAAGAAGGCCUGAGGGUUGUAAAGCACUUUCAAUUGUGAAGAAAAGUUAACGGUUAAUAACCGUUAGCCUUGACGUUAACUUUAGAAGAAGCACCGGCUAACUCCGUGCCAGCAGCCGCGGUAAUACGGAGGGUGCAAGCGUUAAUCGGAAUUACUGGGCGUAAAGCGUGCGUAGGCGGUUUAUUAAGUCAGAUGUGAAAGCCCCGGGCUUAACCUGGGAACUGCAUUUGAAACUGGUCAACUAGAGUAUGGUAGAGGAAAGUGGAAUUUCUGGUGUAGCGGUGAAAUGCGUAGAUAUCAGAAGGAACAUCAAUGGCGAAGGCAGCUUUCUGGACCAAUACUGACGCUGAGGUACGAAAGCGUGGGUAGCAAACAGGAUUAGAUACCCUGGUAGUCCACGCC